Molecule: ribosomal RNA, 492 nt
Filed under: uncultured bacterium
Lineage: Bacteria
Description: partial 16S ribosomal RNA
Rfam family: Bacterial small subunit ribosomal RNA
Source: RNAcentral
AGUGAACGCUGGCGGUAGGCCUAACACAUGCAAGUCGAACGGCAGCACAGUAAGUUCUUGCUCUUAUGGGUGGCGAGUGGCGGGCGGGUGAGGAAUAUAACCGACUCUACUUUUUCGUGGGGGAUAACGUAGGGAAACUUACUCUAAUACCGCAUACGACCUACGGGUGAAAGCAGGGGAUCUUUUGAGCUUGCGCGGAUGAAUGAGCCGCUGUUGGAUUAGCUGGUUGGCGGGGUAAAGGCCCACCGAGGCGGCGAUCGGUAGCUGGUGUGGGAGAAUGGUCGGCCACACGGGAAGGGGGACACCGACCAGGCGCCUACGGGAGGCAGCAGUGGGGAAUAGUGGGCAGUGGGCGCGAGCCUGGUCCAGCGAGACCGCGUGGGUGGAGAAGGCCUUCGGGUUGUGAAGCCGUUUUGUUGGGAAAGAAAAGCAGCAGGUUAAUACGCCGCUGUUCUGACGGUACCCAAAGAAUAAGCACCGGCUAACUUCGUG